Molecule: ribosomal RNA, 252 nt
Filed under: uncultured prokaryote
Description: partial 16S ribosomal RNA
Rfam family: Bacterial small subunit ribosomal RNA
Source: RNAcentral
ACGGAGGGUGCAAGCGUUAUCCGGAUUCACUGGGUUUAAAGGGUGCGUAGGCGGGCAGGUAAGUCAGUGGUGAAAUCCCCGAGCUUAACUCGGGAACUGCCAUUGAUACUGCUGGACUUGAAUUACCAGGAAGCAACUAGAAUAUGUAGUGUAGCGGUGAAAUGCUUAGAGAUUACAUGGAAUACCAAUUGCGAAGGCAGGUUGCUACUGGUGGAUUGACGCUGAUGGACGAAAGCGUGGGUAGCGAACAGG